CUACGGGUCGCACCAGUGGGGAAUAUUGGACAAUGGGGGAAACCCUGAUCCAGCAAUGCCGCGUGUGUGAAGAAGGCCUGCGGGUUGUAAAGCACUUUCGGUUGGGAGGACUGCUUCUAGCACUAAUAUUGUUGGAAGUUGACGUUACCUUCAGAAGAAGCACCGGCUAACUCCGUGCCAGCAGCCGCGGUAAUACGGAGGGUGCAAGCGUUAAUCGGAAUUACUGGGCGUAAAGCGCGCGUAGGCGGCUAGAUCAGUCGGGUGUGAAAGCCCCGGGCUUAACCUGGGAACUGCAUCCGAUACUGUCUAGCUUGAGUACAGGAGAGGAGAGUGGAAUUCCACAUGUAGCGGUGAAAUGCAUAGAUAUGUGGAGGAACACCAGUGGCGAAGGCAGCUCUCUGGCCUGAUACUGACGCCGAGGUGCGAAAGCGUGGGGAGCAAACAGGAUUAGAUACCCUUGUAGUC
RNAcentral lists this ribosomal RNA (465 nucleotides) under uncultured bacterium. Its description in RNAcentral is "partial 16S ribosomal RNA". It matches the Rfam family "Bacterial small subunit ribosomal RNA", at positions 339 to 795 of the family's 1533-position model. The record is from RNAcentral.